UUAAGUUAUUAAGGGCGCACGGUGGAUGCCUUGGCACUAGAAGCCGAUGAAGGACGUUACUAACGACGAUAUGCUUUGGGGAGCUGUAAGUAAGCUUUGAUCCAGAGAUUUCCGAAUGGGGAAACCCAGCAUGAGUUAUGUCAUGUUAUCGAUAUGUGAAUACAUAGCAUAUCAGAAGGCACACCCGGAGAACUGAAACAUCUUAGUACCCGGAGGAAGAGAAAGAAAAUUCGAUUCCCUUAGUAGCGGCGAGCGAAACGGGAAGAGCCCAAACCAAAAGCUUGCUUGUUGGGGUUGUAGGACACUCUAUACGGAGUUACAAAGGACGACAUUAGACGAAUCAUCUGGAAAGAUGAAUCAAAGAAGGUAAUAAUCCUGUAGUCGAAAAUGUUGUCUCUCUUGAGUGGAUCCUGAGUACGACGGAGCACGUGAAAUUCCGUCGGAAUCUGGGAGGACCAUCUCCUAAGGCUAAAUACUCUCUAGUGACCGAUAGUGAACCAGUACCGUGAGGGAAAGGUGAAAAGCACCCCGGAAGGGGAGUGAAAUAGAACCUGAAACCGUGUGCUUACAAGUAGUCAGAGCCCGUUAAUGGGUGAUGGCGUGCCUUUUGUAGAAUGAACCGGCGAGUUACGAUUUGAUGCAAGGUUAAGCAGUAAAUGUGGAGCCGUAGCGAAAGCGAGUCUGAAUAGGGCGUUUAGUAUUUGGUCGUAGACCCGAAACCAGGUGAUCUACCCUUGGUCAGGUUGAAGUUCAGGUAACACUGAAUGGAGGACCGAACCGACUUACGUUGAAAAGUGAGCGGAUGAACUGAGGGUAGCGGAGAAAUUCCAAUCGAACCUGGAGAUAGCUGGUUCUCUCCGAAAUAGCUUUAGGGCUAGCCUCAAGUGAUGAUUAUUGGAGGUAGAGCACUGUUUGGACGAGGGGCCCCUCUCGGGUUACCGAAUUCAGACAAACUCCGAAUGCCAAUUAAUUUAACUUGGGAGUCAGAACAUGGGUGAUAAGGUCCGUGUUCGAAAGGGAAACAGCCCAGACCACCAGCUAAGGUCCCAAAAUAUAUGUUAAGUGGAAAAGGAUGUGGCGUUGCCCAGACAACUAGGAUGUUGGCUUAGAAGCAGCCAUCAUUUAAAGAGUGCGUAAUAGCUCACUAGUCGAGUGACACUGCGCCGAAAAUGUACCGGGGCUAAACAUAUUACCGAAGCUGUGGAUUGUCCUUUGGACAAUGGUAGGAGAGCGUUCUAAGGGCGUUGAAGCAUGAUCGUAAGGACAUGUGGAGCGCUUAGAAGUGAGAAUGCCGGUGUGAGUAGCGAAAGACGGGUGAGAAUCCCGUCCACCGAUUGACUAAGGUUUCCAGAGGAAGGCUCGUCCGCUCUGGGUUAGUCGGGUCCUAAGCUGAGGCCGACAGGCGUAGGCGAUGGAUAACAGGUUGAUAUUCCUGUACCACCUAUAAUCGUUUUAAUCGAUGGGGGGACGCAGUAGGAUAGGCGAAGCGUGCGAUUGGAUUGCACGUCUAAGCAGUAAGGCUGAGUAUUAGGCAAAUCCGGUACUCGUUAAGGCUGAGCUGUGAUGGGGAGAAGACAUUGUGUCUUCGAGUCGUUGAUUUCACACUGCCGAGAAAAGCCUCUAGAUAGAAAAUAGGUGCCCGUACCGCAAACCGACACAGGUAGUCAAGAUGAGAAUUCUAAGGUGAGCGAGCGAACUCUCGUUAAGGAACUCGGCAAAAUGACCCCGUAACUUCGGGAGAAGGGGUGCUCUUUAGGGUUAACGCCCAGAAGAGCCGCAGUGAAUAGGCCCAAGCGACUGUUUAUCAAAAACACAGGUCUCUGCUAAACCGUAAGGUGAUGUAUAGGGGCUGACGCCUGCCCGGUGCUGGAAGGUUAAGAGGAGUGGUUAGCUUCUGCGAAGCUACGAAUCGAAGCCCCAGUAAACGGCGGCCGUAACUAUAACGGUCCUAAGGUAGCGAAAUUCCUUGUCGGGUAAGUUCCGACCCGCACGAAAGGCGUAACGAUUUGGGCACUGUCUCAACGAGAGACUCGGUGAAAUCAUAGUACCUGUGAAGAUGCAGGUUACCCGCGACAGGACGGAAAGACCCCGUGGAGCUUUACUGUAGCCUGAUAUUGAAAUUCGGCACAGCUUGUACAGGAUAGGUAGGAGCCUUUGAAACGUGAGCGCUAGCUUACGUGGAGGCGCUGGUGGGAUACUACCCUAGCUGUGUUGGCUUUCUAACCCGCACCACUUAUCGUGGUGGGAGACAGUGUCAGGCGGGCAGUUUGACUGGGGCGGUCGCCUCCUAAAAGGUAACGGAGGCGCUCAAAGGUUCCCUCAGAAUGGUUGGAAAUCAUUCAUAGAGUGUAAAGGCAUAAGGGAGCUUGACUGCGAGACCUACAAGUCGAGCAGGGUCGAAAGACGGACUUAGUGAUCCGGUGGUUCCGCAUGGAAGGGCCAUCGCUCAACGGAUAAAAGCUACCCCGGGGAUAACAGGCUUAUCUCCCCCAAGAGUUCACAUCGACGGGGAGGUUUGGCACCUCGAUGUCGGCUCAUCGCAUCCUGGGGCUGUAGUCGGUCCCAAGGGUUGGGCUGUUCGCCCAUUAAAGCGGUACGCGAGCUGGGUUCAGAACGUCGUGAGACAGUUCGGUCCCUAUCCGUCGUGGGCGUAGGAAAUUUGAGAGGAGCUGUCCUUAGUACGAGAGGACCGGGAUGGACAUACCUCUGGUGUACCAGUUGUCGUGCCAACGGCAUAGCUGGGUAGCUAUGUGUGGACGGGAUAAGUGCUGAAAGCAUCUAAGCAUGAAGCCCCCCUCAAGAUGAGAUUUCCCAACUUCGGUUAUAAGAUCCCUCAAAGAUGAUGAGGUUAAUAGGUUCGAGGUGGAAGCAUGGUGACAUGUGGAGCUGACGAAUACUAAUCGAUCGAAGACUUAAUC
This 2918-nucleotide ribosomal RNA is filed under the name Staphylococcus aureus. RNAcentral describes it as "23S ribosomal RNA". It matches the Rfam family "Bacterial large subunit ribosomal RNA". The record is from RNAcentral. Lineage: Bacteria; Bacillati; Bacillota; Bacilli; Caryophanales; Staphylococcaceae.